This 324-nucleotide long non-coding RNA is filed under the name Capsicum annuum. RNAcentral's name for it is "long non-coding RNA (CANN_LNC016605)". The record is from RNAcentral. Lineage: Eukaryota; Viridiplantae; Streptophyta; Magnoliopsida; Solanales; Solanaceae.
UCUCUACCUUUACAAUGUCCGGUUACCCGCACAACAACGUUCCCGGUUACGGUUACGGCCAGCCGCCGCCGCCGUCUUCUCAGCCGUACUCCUCCGCCCCUUACGGAGCUCCUCCACCGUCAUCUCAGCCUCACUCCUCCGCUCCCUACGGUGCUCCACCGCCGUCAUCUCAACCGCACUCCUCCGCUCCCUACGGCGCUCCGACGCCGUCAUCUCAACCGCACUCCGCUCCAUACGGUGGUCCUCCACCGCCUUCUUCAUCAUCACCAUACGGUGUUCCACCGCCGCAAACUUACUCACCAUACGGCGCCGUUCCGUCUCCUU